UACGGAGGGUGCAAGCGUUAUCCGGAUUCACUGGGUUUAAAGGGUGCGUAGGUGGGCAGGUAAGUCAGUGGUGAAAUCUCCGGGCUUAACUCGGAAACUGCCAUUGAUACUAUCUGUCUUGAAUACCGUGGAGGUCAGCGGAAUAUGUCAUGUAGCGGUGAAAUGCUUAGAUAUGACAUAGAACACCAAUUGCGAGGGCAGCUGGCUACACGAAUAUUGACACUGAUGCACGAAAGCGUGGGGAUCAAACAGG
Molecule: ribosomal RNA, 253 nt
Filed under: uncultured bacterium
Lineage: Bacteria
Description: partial 16S ribosomal RNA
Rfam family: Bacterial small subunit ribosomal RNA
Source: RNAcentral